Molecule: ribosomal RNA, 300 nt
Filed under: Ixodes minor
Lineage: Eukaryota; Metazoa; Arthropoda; Arachnida; Ixodida; Ixodidae
Description: partial 16S ribosomal RNA
Source: RNAcentral
CACUAGUGAUUCUGCUCAAUGAUUUUUUAAAUUGCUGUGGUAUUUUGACUAUACGAAGGUAUUGAAAUAAGAUUUUAAAUGAGUGCUAAGAGAAUGAUUUAACAAUUAAAGACUUUCUUUUAUUAAAUGAUUGAAUUUAAUUUUUUAGUGCGAAAGCAAAAAUUAAAAUUAGGGACAAGAAGACCCUAUGAAUUUUUAAUUUUUUAAAUAAUAUAUUUUAAUUAUUAAAAAAUUUAAUUGGGGUGAUAGAAAAAGAAUAAAUAUCUUUUUUUAAAGUUUAAAUUAGUUCCGUUUUUAACG